This 238-nucleotide ribosomal RNA is filed under the name uncultured bacterium. Its description in RNAcentral is "partial 16S ribosomal RNA". It matches the Rfam family "Bacterial small subunit ribosomal RNA", at positions 96 to 334 of the family's 1533-position model. The record is from RNAcentral.
CGGCGGACGGGUGAGUAACGCGUGGGUAACCUGCCUCAUACAGGGGGAUAACAGUUGGAAACGGCUGCUAAUACCGCAUAAGCGCACAGUACUGCAUGGUACCGUGUGAAAAACUCCGGUGGUAUGAGAUGGACCCGCGUCUGAUUAGCUAGUUGGUGGGGUAACGGCCUACCAAGGCGACGAUCAGUAGCCGACCUGAGAGGGUGACCGGCCACAUUGGGACUGAGACACGGCCCAA